UUUUAUUAUAAUUUUUAAGAUCAUCGAUGACGAAUUUUAUGACAAUAAGAAGAAUGCUAUAGUGAAAAAAUAACAUAUUUACUCAUGUACGGACGAACAGCAAUGAUCGAUAGAACGAACGUUUGAAAACUUCGUCGACGGUAAUCGAAGGUAAAAACAGCUGUUCGUAAAUACGUCAAUGCAAACGUAUUCUCUCGAUUCGUUGAUAAUCUCUAUUCGGCGACAAAAAAAAGACCGUGCAAAGUUCUUCGUCUGACUCCCCGAGUGUAUGUACAUAUAUACACACGUAUUUCAUUUACAUAAUUCAAAAGGACUCCUUUUAAGAAGCAGCCAGAUGGUAAAUACACUCGUAUGGAUAUGAAUCCAAUUAGUUAUUUGAUCGUCAGCUUUUCGCCAAGCAUCUGUCUGUACAAUUGAUAAGAAACGACGAUGAUCGACGAGACGUUUUCUUUAAGAAUAUUUCAAGAGAAUUUCAUCGUUCUGACUAUGACGAUGACGAUGAUGACGACGACGACGACGACG
Long non-coding RNA from Vespula pensylvanica (western yellowjacket), 522 nucleotides. RefSeq lists it as uncharacterized. The record is from RefSeq and is a predicted model, not a curated record. NCBI's taxonomy places the organism in Eukaryota, Metazoa, Arthropoda, Insecta, Hymenoptera, Vespidae. The transcript is spliced from 3 exons.